GCUGGGCAUGGUGGCUCAUGCCUGUAAUCCCAGCUACUCAGGAGGCUAAGGAAGAAGGAUUGCAAGUUUGAGGCCAGUAUAGGUUGCAAGACAAAAAAGAAAAAGUUAGAAACAUUUAAAGUGAUUAAGGCAGUCUCAGAUUUGUUUACUUCUUUGCCAAUACAAGGUCCCAACUUGUGUAGGGAGUUUUUUUUUUUU
RNAcentral lists this small RNA (198 nucleotides) under Marmota monax (woodchuck). The record is from RNAcentral. Lineage: Eukaryota; Metazoa; Chordata; Mammalia; Rodentia; Sciuridae.